Molecule: ribosomal RNA, 479 nt
Filed under: Streptococcus sp. oral taxon 068
Lineage: Bacteria; Bacillati; Bacillota; Bacilli; Lactobacillales; Streptococcaceae
Description: bacterial SSU rRNA
Rfam family: Bacterial small subunit ribosomal RNA
Source: RNAcentral
GAUGAACGCUGGCGGCGUGCCUAAUACAUGCAAGUAGAACGCUGAAGCUUGGUGCUUGCACCGAGCGGAUGAGUUGCGAACGGGUGAGUAACGCGUAGGUAACCUGCCUGGUAGCGGGGGAUAACUAUUGGAAACGAUAGCUAAUACCGCAUAACAGUCGACAUUGCAUGAUGUUGAUUUGAAAGGGGCAAUUGCUCCACUACCAGAUGGACCUGCGUUGUAUUAGCUAGUUGGUGAGGUAACGGCUCACCAAGGCGACGAUACAUAGCCGACCUGAGAGGGUGAUCGGCCACACUGGGACUGAGACACGGCCCAGACUCCUACGGGAGGCAGCAGUAGGGAAUCUUCGGCAAUGGGGGCAACCCUGACCGAGCAACGCCGCGUGAGUGAAGAAGGUUUUCGGAUCGUAAAGCUCUGUUGUAAGAGAAGAACGAGUGUGAGAGUGGAAAGUUCACACUGUGACGGAACUACCAGAAAGG